This 872-nucleotide ribosomal RNA is filed under the name Phellinus juniperinus. Its description in RNAcentral is "eukaryotic LSU rRNA". It matches the Rfam family "Eukaryotic large subunit ribosomal RNA", at positions 66 to 915 of the family's 3401-position model. Lineage: Eukaryota; Fungi; Basidiomycota; Agaricomycetes; Hymenochaetales; Hymenochaetaceae. The record is from RNAcentral.
UAACAAGGAUUCCCCUAGUAACUGCGAGUGAAGCGGGAAGAGCUCAAAUUUAAAAUCUGGCAGUCUUCUGGCUGUCCGAGUUGUAAUCUGGAGAAGCGUUUUCUGUGUUAGACCGUGUACAAGUCUCCUGGAACGGAGCGUCAUAGAGGGUGAGAAUCCCGUCCAUGACACGGACUACUAAUACUUUGUGAUACGCUCUCGAAGAGUCGAGUUGUUUGGGAAUGCAGCUCAAAAUGGGUGGUAAAUUCCAUCUAAAGCUAAAUACAGGCGAGAGACCGAUAGCGAACAAGUACCGUGAGGGAAAGAUGAAAAGCACUUUGGAAAGAGAGUUAAACAGUACGUGAAAUUGUUGAAAGGGAAACGCUUGAAGUCAGUCGCGCUGUGCAGAACUCAGCCUUGCCUCGGCUUGGUGUACUUUCUGCACAACGGGUCAACAUCAAUUUUGGCCCAUGGAGAAAGGUGGGGGGAAUGUAGCGCUGUUUCGGCAGCGUGUUAUAGCCCUCUAUUGUAUACAUGGGCUGGGAUUGAGGAUCGCAGCACGCCCUUGUGGCCGGGGGUUCGCCCUACGUACCGUGCUUGGGAUGUUGGCAGAAUGGCUUUAAGCGACCCGUCUUGAAACACGGACCAAGGAGUCUAACAUGCUUGCGAGUGUUCGGGUGGAAAACCCUUGUGCGUAAUGAAAGURAAAGUUGGGAACCUCCGCAAGGGGGUGCACCGACGCCCGGCCCUGACGUUCUCUGACGGUGCUGCGGUAGAGCAAGUAUGCUAGGACCCGAAAGAUGGUGAACUAUGCCUGAAUAGGGCGAAGCCAGAGGAAACUCUGGUGGAGGCUCGUAGCGAUUCUGACGUGCAAAUCGAUCGUCAAAUUUGGG